UACAGAGGGUGCGAGCGUUAAUCGGAAUUACUGGGCGUAAAGCGCACGUAGGCGGCUUGGUAUGUCGGGUGUGAAAUCCCCGGGCUCAAUCUGGGAACUGCAUCCGAAACUGCCUUGCUAGAGUAUGGGAGAGGGAAGUGGAAUUUCCGGUGUAGCGGUGAAAUGCGUAGAUAUCGGAAGGAACAUCAGUGGCGAAGGCGACUUCCUGGACCAAUACUGACGCUCAGGUGCGAAAGCGUGGGGAGCAAACAGG
RNAcentral lists this ribosomal RNA (253 nucleotides) under uncultured bacterium. RNAcentral describes it as "partial 16S ribosomal RNA". It matches the Rfam family "Bacterial small subunit ribosomal RNA", at positions 524 to 776 of the family's 1533-position model. The record is from RNAcentral.